AUCUAACCUCAGCCUUAUCUUCCCCAUUCGCAGCUUCCUCUUGAAGGAGGAGCAGCCCCUUCAAAACCGAGCUGUGUGCCCGGGCUGAGCCCCCACCGCGCUCCUGCACGACCCCCGCUGCGGCCCCGGCCCGGCUGCCGCGGCUCCGGAUGGCCCCACCAUGGCUGGCGUCCAGCGAGGACUCUGUGACCCCAGGAGCUGCAGUGUGGCACUGCGUGUAUUUGACAAGCUGAGUCCGACACUCAGUGUGCAGAGUGUCAGUUUGUCAAAUACCCCAAGUGAGGCACUGCUGAGCAACGCGACGCCGAUGGUGCAGCCCUUUCCUCCUGCUCUGGCAGGAGCCUUCCUCUCCAGAGACCUACCGAGGUGCUGAGCAGCCCAUCCCAUGUUCCAGAACACCUGACUGAUGCUGUGCUGCCAGGUUUCCCUGCCACCCUGGUUUUGGAAGUAUCUGUCCCAACAUUUAAUCAGAGCAGAAGUGGUGCUGGUGCAACGUCUCCAUCCUGUGAAGACAGGGAGUCGUGCCCUGGGUCCUUGUUAUUUGCAUCCAAAUACAAUGCUGUUCUCUUACACAGCAUUAACUAGCCAGCUGUGAAUUAAGCUCAGUUAACAAGGAUCCUGGCAACUAUAAUCACAACAUCAUGGGUAAAGGCAGCAUUAUCCAUAAUAAAGAAUCUUGCCUUUGGACAUGUAGUAAUAUUUUUUAUAUUUAUAUAACUAAUGAGGAUGCUUAUUAACGUUCCUCUGGCCCAUUAGCCUGUGAAAAAUAUAUGUUUGCUCAAUCUGUUUUAAAUUAGGCCAUGGAGUCCAUUGCUCUUCCUGGGAGUCUUGCUGUUUGGAGAAGACUUCUUGUCUCUGCAUGGUUAUUCCUAGUCAGCACUUACAGUAAGGUUGCCUAUUCUGCUAUUUAAAUAAAGUAAUUCCCUCUAAAUCAUCCUGCUUGAAGAUGUAAUGAUUGCUAAGUGUUUUCAGUAACUGACUUGUAGAAUUUCAGAUAUGUCAGGGUAGGGGAAGGAGAGGGGCAGCAUUGAGCCCAAUUUGACAAAUCAAACUCUGAAAGCAUUUGACAUGGAAAACUCAAAAAUAAAAAAAAAUCCCAAGACUGCACUGACUAGUUUUAGGACAGUAGCACCAGCAAAUUUUGCAAUAUUUGAGAAUAUUAAUAAACUGAAAUACUUAA
This is a long non-coding RNA of Taeniopygia guttata (zebra finch), 1180 nucleotides long. RefSeq lists it as uncharacterized. Lineage: Eukaryota; Metazoa; Chordata; Aves; Passeriformes; Estrildidae. The record is from RefSeq and is a predicted model, not a curated record.